This 497-nucleotide ribosomal RNA is filed under the name uncultured bacterium. RNAcentral describes it as "partial 16S ribosomal RNA". It matches the Rfam family "Bacterial small subunit ribosomal RNA", at positions 28 to 507 of the family's 1533-position model. The record is from RNAcentral.
GACGAACGCUGGCGGCGUGCCUAAUACAUGCAAGUUGAGCGCUGAAGGUUGGUCCUUGUACCAACUGGAUGAGCAGCGAACGGGUGAGUAACGCGUGGGGAAUCUGCCUUUGAGCGGGGGACAACAUUUGGAAACGAAUGCUAAUACCGCAUAAAAACUUUAAACACAAGUUUUAAGUUUGAAAGAUGCAAUUGCAUCACUCAAAGAUGAUCCCGCGUUGUAUUAGCUAGUUGGUGAGGUAAAGGCUCACCAAGGCGAUGAUACAUAGCCGACCUGAGAGGGUGAUAGGCCACAUUGGGACUGAGACACGGCCCAAACGCCUACGGGAGGCAGCAGUAGGGAAUCUUAGGCAAUGGACGAAAGUCUGACCGAGCAACGCCGCGUGAGUGAAGAAGGUGUUCGGAUCGUAAAAAUCUGUUGGUAGAGAAGAACGUUGGUGAGAGUGGAAAGCUCAUCAAGUGACGGUAACUACCCAGAAAGGGACGGCUAACUACGUG